UGGUCUCAGUGCCUCACCCCCAGAUCUGCAUCGGAAUGUAGAAAAGAUCCUUUUUUUUUUUUUAAAGAAAAAAAGUUUUGAAUUCCUCAAUGAUUUUUCUUCUGGAAAGGCAGCUUAGGAUAAUUAUUUCAGCUUUAUUGAGGGCAGAUUAGUUGAAGUCUGGACGCUGCGUUUUCAAUACACGUUGUACACGGGCCGACAAUGUGG
This 207-nucleotide long non-coding RNA is filed under the name Bos mutus (wild yak). RNAcentral's name for it is "Six3os1 conserved region 7 (ENSBMUG00000006310.1)". It matches the Rfam family "Six3os1 conserved region 7". The record is from RNAcentral. Lineage: Eukaryota; Metazoa; Chordata; Mammalia; Artiodactyla; Bovidae.